GAAGAAAAYAAGAAACCGCUAACUUCUAACC
This 31-nucleotide transfer RNA is filed under the name Pelusios gabonensis. RNAcentral's name for it is "partial tRNA-Ser". The record is from RNAcentral. Lineage: Eukaryota; Metazoa; Chordata; Testudines; Pelomedusidae.